Molecule: ribosomal RNA, 465 nt
Filed under: uncultured bacterium
Lineage: Bacteria
Description: partial 16S ribosomal RNA
Rfam family: Bacterial small subunit ribosomal RNA
Source: RNAcentral
CCUACGGGUGGCAGCAGUAGGGAAUCUUCCACAAUGGGCGAAAGCUUGAUGGAGCAACGCCGCGUGGGUGAUGAAGGUCUUCGGAUCGUAAAAUCCUGUUGUUAGAGAAGAAAGUUCGCGAUAGUAACUGUUCACGUUCUGACGGUACCUAAUCAGAAAGCUACGGCUAACUACGUGCCAGCAGCCGCGGUAAUACGUAGGUGGCAAGCGUUAUCCGGAAUUAUUGGGCGUAAAGGGAUCGUAGGCGGUCUUUUAAGUCUGAUGUGAAAGCCUUGGGCUUAACCCGGGUAGUGCAUUGGAAACUAGGAGACUUGAGUGAAGAAGAGGAGAGUGGAACUCCAUGUGUAGCGGUGAAAUGCGUAGAUAUAUGGAAGAACACCAAUGGCGAAGGCAGCUCUCUGGUCUGAAACUGACGCUGAGGUUCGAAAGCGUGGGUAGCAAACAGGAUUAGAUACCCCGGUAGUC